AGAUUGAUCCUGGCUAGGGAUGAACGCUAGCUACAGGCUUAACACAUGCAAGUCGAGGGGCAGCAUGAUUCUAGCUUGCUAGAAUUGAUGGCGACCGGCGCACGGGUGCGUAACACGUAUCCAAUCUACCCAUGGCUCGGGGAUAGCCUUUCGAAAGAAAGAUUAAUACCUGAUAGUCUUACCUGGAGACAUCUCCUGGUAAGUAAAGAUUCAUCGGCGAUGGAUGGGGAUGCGUCCGAUUAGCUGGUUGGCGGGGUAACGGCCCACCAAGGCGACAAUCGGUAGGGGUUCUGAGAGGAAGGUCCCCCACACUGGAACUGAGACACGGUCCAGACUCCUACGGGAGGCAGCAGUGAGGAAUAUUGGUCAAUGGGCGCGAGCCUGAACCAGCCAAGUAGCGUGAGGGAUGGCGGCCCUACGGGUUGUAAACCUCUUUUGCAGGGGAAUAAAGUGCGGGACGUGUCCCGCUUUGUAUGUACCUUGCGAAUAAGCAUCGGCUAAUUCCGUGCCAGCAGCCGCGGUAAUACGGAAGAUGCGAGCGUUAUCCGGAUUUAUUGGGUUUAAAGGGAGCGUAGGCGGCCUUUUAAGUCAGCGGUUAAAUGUCAGCGCCCAACGUUGGCUUGCCGUUGAUACUGGGAGGCUUGAAUACACACAAAGGAAGGUGGAAUUCGUCGUGUAGCGGUGAAAUGCUUAGUAUGACGAAGAACUCCGAUUGCGAAGGCAGCCUUCUGGGGUGCGAUUGA
This 743-nucleotide ribosomal RNA is filed under the name uncultured rumen bacterium. RNAcentral's name for it is "bacterial SSU rRNA". It matches the Rfam family "Bacterial small subunit ribosomal RNA", at positions 10 to 743 of the family's 1533-position model. The record is from RNAcentral.